Molecule: non-coding RNA, 74 nt
Organism: Aphanomyces astaci
Lineage: Eukaryota; Oomycota; Saprolegniomycetes; Saprolegniales; Verrucalvaceae
Source: Rfam
GGGAAAAUAGCUCAGUGAUAGAGCAUCGGUAUCUUAACUCAAUGGUCGUCGGUUCGAUCCCCGGAUUAUUUCCG